Molecule: transfer RNA, 85 nt
Filed under: Minisyncoccota bacterium
Lineage: Bacteria; Bacillati; Minisyncoccota
Description: tRNA-Leu
Rfam family: tRNA
About the family: Transfer RNA (tRNA) molecules are approximately 80 nucleotides in length. Their secondary structure includes four short double-helical elements and three loops (D, anti-codon, and T loops).
Source: RNAcentral
GCCCAGGUGGUGAAAUUGGUAUACACGCUACCUUGAGGUGGUAGUGCCGCAAGGUGUGGAGGUUCAAGUCCUCUCCUGGGCACCA